This 511-nucleotide ribosomal RNA is filed under the name uncultured bacterium. RNAcentral describes it as "partial 16S ribosomal RNA". It matches the Rfam family "Bacterial small subunit ribosomal RNA", at positions 28 to 507 of the family's 1533-position model. The record is from RNAcentral.
GACAAACGCUGGCGGCAUGCCUAACACAUGCAAGUCGAACGGACAGAACAGGGAAGCUUUUCGGAGUGGAACUGGAAAGUUAGUGGCGGAUGGGUGAGUAACGCGUGGACAACCUACCUUGUAAAGGGGAAUAACCUCGAGAAAUCGAAGCUAAUACCCCAUAAUAACCUUGCUUCGCAUGAAGUAAGGAGGAAAGGCGGCCUUAGCGCUGUCGAUACAAGAUGGAUCCGCGUCUGAUUAGCUAGUUGGUGAGGUAAAGGCUCACCAAGGCGACGAUCAGUAGCCGGCCUGAGAGGGUGAACGGCCACAUUGGGACUGAGACACGGCCCAAACUCCUACGGGAGGCAGCAGUGGGGAAUCUUCCGCAAUGGGCGAAAGCCUGACGGAGCAAUGCCGCGUGAGUGAAGAAGGCCUUCGGGUUGUAAAACUCUGUCCUUAUCGAAGAGAGAGUGUUGUAGUAACUGACAAUACUAGGACGGUAGAUGAGGAGGAAGCCCCGGCUAACUAUGUG